RNAcentral lists this long non-coding RNA (430 nucleotides) under Mus spretus (western wild mouse). RNAcentral describes it as "predicted gene 13703 (ENSMSPG00010023865.1)". Lineage: Eukaryota; Metazoa; Chordata; Mammalia; Rodentia; Muridae. The record is from RNAcentral.
CAGGAGUCUGGCAAAUGUGAUCCUAACAGUUCUCUGCUUUUUCCAAGCACACAGGGCCGGAGCGCUGGCAGGUUCUCAGGCAGGCUGUUCUCCGUAAGUCACCUUAUCAGAAGCACACCCACGAGGAGAGCAGGGAUUCUAUAAGCAGGGCCAUAAGAAAGAAAGAGUGAGCCAACAGAAGCUGCCUAUGGACACCGGAAGCGGACACCGGAAGCGGACACCGGAAGCGGACACCGGAAGCGGACACCGGAAGCCGCCACUUACCCCCAGCCAGAGAUGAUGAUGAUUCCCACCGGGAGCUGAACGCUCUCGCGCUUCUUUAAAAGAAACAAAGAAACUGCUAGAAGGCCUAGAAACAAGAAACCAAGAUUAUAAACGAUGAUUACUCUUACUCUUGGUAUGGAAGCUGCAGCACUUUACUCUGUGAGAG